GACGAACGCUGGCGGCGUGCCUAAUACAUGCAAGUUGAGCGCUGAAGGUUGGUACUUGUACCGACUGGAUGAGCAGCGCACGGGUGAGUAACGCGUGGGGAAUCUGCCUUUGAGCGGGGGACAACAUUUGGAAACGAAUGCUAAUACCGCAUAAAAACUUUAAACACAAGUUUUAAGUUUGAAAGAUGCAAUUGCAUCACUCAAAGAUGAUCCCGCGUUGUAUUAGCUAGUUGGUGAGGUAAAGGCUCACCAAGGCGAUGAUACAUAGCCGACCUGAGAGGGUGAUCGGCCACAUUGGGACUGAGACACGGCCCAAACUCCUACGGGAGGCAGCAGUAGGGAAUCUUCGGCAAUGGACGAAAGUCUGACCGAGCAACGCCGCGUGAGGGAAGAAGGGUUUCGGAUCGUAAAACUCUGUUGGUAGAGAAGAACGUUGGUGAGAGUGGAAAGCUCAUCAAGUGACGGUAACUACCCAGAAAGGGACGGCUAACUACGUG
This 497-nucleotide ribosomal RNA is filed under the name uncultured bacterium. RNAcentral's name for it is "partial 16S ribosomal RNA". It matches the Rfam family "Bacterial small subunit ribosomal RNA", at positions 28 to 507 of the family's 1533-position model. The record is from RNAcentral.